This 413-nucleotide ribosomal RNA is filed under the name uncultured bacterium. RNAcentral's name for it is "bacterial SSU rRNA". It matches the Rfam family "Bacterial small subunit ribosomal RNA", at positions 18 to 434 of the family's 1533-position model. The record is from RNAcentral.
CAUGGCUCAGGAUGAACGCUGGCGGCGUGCUUAACACAUGUAAGUCGAACGGACGCUUUGAGCAAUCGGAGCGUUAGUGGCAGACGGGUGCGUAACACGUGGGUGACCUACCUCGAAGUGGGGAACAACAGACCGAAAGGUUUGCUAAUACCGCAUACGUUCGGCUCUUCAUUGAGCCGCGCAAAGCCGAAAGGCGCUUUGAGAGGGGCCCGCGGCCCAUCAGGUAGUUGGUGAGGUAAUGGCCCACCAAGCCGAUGACGGGUAGCUGUUCUGAGAGGAAGAUCAGCCACACUGGCACUGAGAUACGGGCCAGACUCCUACGGGAGGCAGCAGUGAGGAAUAUUGCACAAUGGACGAAAGUCUGAUGCAGCGACGCCGCGUGGGCGACGAAGGCCUUCGGGUCGUAAAGCCCU